AUACUGUCUUCAACAGUGGUUGCACCAUUUUACAUUCUCACCAGUAACGUACAAGGGUUCUAAUUUCUCCACAUCCACGUCAAUGCUUAUUUUCCUUCUUUGAUAAGUGGCCAUUGUAAUGGGCAUGAAGUGAUACUGAUUAAUGAUGUUGAGAAUCUUUUGAUAUGUUAUUGGCAUUUUGUACAUCUUUGUUUAGGAAAUGUCUCUUCAUGUCCUUUGCCCAUUUUUUAAUUAGGUUUGUUUUUUGGUUGCUGAGUUGUAGACCUUUAUUCUGGACACUAGACCCUUAUUAGCUAUAUGAUUUGCAAAUAUUUUCUUUGGUUCUGUAGGUUGCCUUUUCAUUUUGUGGAUACUGUCCUUUGAUUAAAAAGUUUUUAAUUUUGAUGAAGUUAACUAUUUUUUUCUCUUCUUGCCUGUGCUUCUGGUGUCAUAUCCAAGAAAUCAUUGCCAAAUCCAAUGUCAUGAAGCUUUUCCUCUAUGUUUUCCUCAAGUUUUAUGCUAAGUAAACCUAAAGGAAAGGCUGAAGAAUCAACUAUAAAUAGUAAAAGUUAGAGGAAGACUUGACAAGCACAUUCAAUCAAUAUACAAAAUAAAGAAUGUAGAGAAAUUUAUUGCCAUUUCCAAGUAUAACUCUGAUGAGUCAGACAAAAAAACCCAUUAAGUUGACAUUAAAAUAUGUUAUUUGACCAGA
Long non-coding RNA from Neofelis nebulosa (Clouded leopard), 691 nucleotides. RefSeq lists it as uncharacterized. The transcript is spliced from 2 exons. NCBI's taxonomy places the organism in Eukaryota, Metazoa, Chordata, Mammalia, Carnivora, Felidae. The record is from RefSeq and is a predicted model, not a curated record.